Molecule: ribosomal RNA, 491 nt
Filed under: uncultured bacterium
Lineage: Bacteria
Description: bacterial SSU rRNA
Rfam family: Bacterial small subunit ribosomal RNA
Source: RNAcentral
UGAACGCUAGCGGCAGGCUUAACACAUGCAAGUCGAGGGGCAGCAUGAGACGGAGAUUCGUCGAAGUCUUGAUGGCGACCGGCGCAAGGGUGACGUAACGCGUGAGCAACUUGCCCGUUUCUGGGGAAUAACCGGUGGAAACGCCGACUAAUACCCCAUAGUAUCAGAUUUAGGCAUCUUUAUCUGAUUAAAGAAUUUCGGAAACGGAUAGGCUCGCGUGACAUUAGCUAGAUGGCGGGGUAACGGCCCACCAUGGCAACGAUGUCUAGGGGUUCUGAGAGGAAGGUCCCCCACACUGGAACUGAGACACGGUCCAGACUCCUACGGGAGGCAGCAGUGAGGAAUAUUGGUCAAUGGUCUGACGACUGAACCAGCCAUGCCGCGUGAAGGUCACGGCCCUAUGGGUCUUAAACUUCUUUUGUAAGGGAGCAAUAAGCUUUACGUGUAGAGUGAUGAGAGUACCUUACGAAUAAGCAUCGGCUAACUCCGUG